GAUGAACGCUAGCGGCAGGCCUAAUACAUGCAAGACGAGGGGUUAGCAAUAACACCGUCGCACGGGUGCGUAACGCGUAUGCAACCUACCUAUCACAGGGGGAUAGCCUUUGGAAACAGGGAUUAAUACCGCAUAAAGCAGGGUCUUGGCAUCAAGAUACUGCUAAAGAUUUAUCGGUGAUAGAUGGGCAUGCGUCUGAUUAGUUAGAUGGUGCGGUAACGGCGUACCAUGGCGAUGAUCAGUAGGGGGCGUCAGAGCGUGGUCCCCCACACUGGCACUGAGAUACGGGCCAGACUCCUACGGGAGGCAGCAGUAGGGAAUAUUGGGCAAUGGAUGCAAGUCUGACCCAGCCAUGCCGCGUGGAGGAAGAAGGUCCUCUGGAUUGUAAACUCCUUUUUCGGGGUAAGAAUAGGUCUCUUGCGAGGGAUUGUGACGGUACCCGAAGAAUAAGCCACGGCUAACUACGUGCCAGCAGCCGCGGUAAACUCGUCU
RNAcentral lists this ribosomal RNA (492 nucleotides) under uncultured bacterium. Its description in RNAcentral is "bacterial SSU rRNA". It matches the Rfam family "Bacterial small subunit ribosomal RNA", at positions 28 to 530 of the family's 1533-position model. The record is from RNAcentral.